UGAAAACCUUGUUUUAUUGAAGUUAAUGACGAAAAUACCACCUUCUGUAGAAUUUAGUCUGUACUGAUUCAGAACAGGGGUUCUGUUGUAGGCUGGACUGGAUUUUCUUUUUAGAUGAUUUCUUGCACCAGGUUACUUAGGUCUAUUGUGUCUAAGCUCUUAAAUAUUGUGUGUUGUAACCAGGCAACAUGACUAACAUUUUGCAAACACCUAACUAGCUUCCUACACCAGGGCUAGAUUCACAGAAAAAUGUGCUGUUACAAGACGUGCCUUGCAAGGACAUUGCUCUACCUCAUGCAAUCCCUCUGUAGAGCUAUGGGGUGAGACUACCAUGCACACCAGCAGAGGACAGCCUUCUUACCGUCUGAAAAAUGGAAAUGGUUUUGAGGAACGUGGAGAAUGCAGCCAGCGUCACCUGACACAGCUUCACUACCCUCCAGCUGUAUUUUAAGAAACAGGAAUUACUUUUGAGACAUCCUUUUCAUUUGUAGGAAUCAGCAAAUGCUUCCCAGUGAUGAAUUCUGACCGGAGAGAGGUACCUGCUCCAGCUGUGACCCAACCUCUCCUUGUGUGGCUGGAGGAACAGCCAGACAAAGCCCAUGCCCAGGCACUUGGAAACUGAGAUCCGGGUCCCUCCUCUGCUUUAGGUCUGAGGGAGUCAGAGGUCAAAUCCACCUUCUCCAUCUCCUACAUAAAUCCUUCCUGCUGUUUUCGGAGCUGUGCUACUAUGCAGUGCUGCCAGUUCAUUUCUCUGCAGGACUCAUAGCCCAACGGUUAAGUAACCUUCUCAGAGAUGCGAGAUGUGGAUUUGAGUCUUCGCUGCAUUCAGGAGGGAGAUGGAACUAUGUCCCAGGUCCUGGUUCCAGUUCCUCAUAUUGCAGACAUGUUACUUCAGUCUGAUCUGGAGCAGAGUGGUUUCUUCAUGAUGAUGGGGGAUACAGCUGAGAAGCAGUUCAUGCUGGAGUCCACAUUAUAUCGAAUGGACACAGGCCUUCCUAUACUCCCAUCCCUGCGAACCAGUGACCUUCACUCUUCAGUGUGGGUAAGGAAGGCAGAUAAACCAUGUCCGCUCAACUUUACAAAAAAGCUGUCCUUGGUUUGGAAGGUUCCUGGAUCAAACACCAACUUCUCCAUGACUUGGCCAUUUUUAUUUUCCUCCCCUGCCCAAGGGAGAAGAAAAUCCCAAGCACUGUCAUCAUCAGCUGGCUUGCGUCCAAUAAUCCCAAAUUAAUUUAAGCGGCCAAGAACUGGGCGUUAACUUCUCUCGUAUGUCAGGAGAGUAGGUAAUAAAAUAAAAACCAAUCAGUCA
This 1309-nucleotide long non-coding RNA is filed under the name Calidris pugnax (ruff). RNAcentral's name for it is "lncRNA (ENSCPUG00000016377.1)". Lineage: Eukaryota; Metazoa; Chordata; Aves; Charadriiformes; Scolopacidae. The record is from RNAcentral.